GCGGGCCGGCCCACCGUGCUACUCGUAGCGGGGAAGUGGUAGUGUCGAACUUCGCCGCGGACGGGGAGUAGCGCGUGGACAAUCUACCCUGUAGACGGGGAUAACACUUCGAAAGUGGUGCUAAUACCUAAUAAUGUCAAGAAGCUUCAUCCUUUUUUGAAAAAAAGAAAAAUCGGCUUUAAGAUGACUCCUCCUCCUAUUACCUAGUUGGCGGAGUUAUUUGGUGAGGGGCGUCUCACGCCGGCCAGCAAGCGUAACCGACCUGCACAGUGGAACUGACACACUGUCCCUACUCCUACGGCAGGACUCAGUGGGGAAGAUUGUGGAAUGGGGGAAACCCUGACACACCGACCCCGACUGAGCGAAGAAUCGCUUCUGGUCGUAAAGCUCAAUAUCAUGGGAAUAAGGAGGUGACGGUACCAUAGUACCGCCCCAGCUAGGUACAUGCCUGACCGUACCUAAUACGUAAGGCGGGAGCGUUACCUGAGUUCCUGCGCGGAAAGACCGCGGUGGCGGGUGUUGAGUCGAAUAUGUGGGAGCUGGGCGCGCGCAAGGGCAUACAUCUGUAUCUGUGUCUUGACUCAGAGACAGCAGGUCAGAGUCAUUGGAUACUGGUGAACUGACUGAAGACUACAGAGUAGAAUCCCACUGCAGCUCUGACUAGUGUACAGAUGCUGAGGAUGACAGCUAGCGACGAGACUCUCUGUACUCUACUGACCUCGUAACUAAUCUAGGGAUGGACACGAUGACGUAUCAUGCAUCUUAGCGCUACGAUGACGCAGGUAACGUCGGUACGCUGGGGCCUGCUGUCACUGGACGCUAGGCUCCAGUCGAGGUCGUAGUCUAGUAACCAGAAUACCAAGACGAC
RNAcentral lists this ribosomal RNA (868 nucleotides) under uncultured bacterium. RNAcentral describes it as "partial 16S ribosomal RNA". The stretch from base 1 to 484 matches the Rfam family "Bacterial small subunit ribosomal RNA", at positions 39 to 545 of the family's 1533-position model. The record is from RNAcentral.